This 465-nucleotide long non-coding RNA is filed under the name Ictidomys tridecemlineatus (thirteen-lined ground squirrel). RNAcentral describes it as "lncRNA (ENSSTOG00000030428.1)". Lineage: Eukaryota; Metazoa; Chordata; Mammalia; Rodentia; Sciuridae. The record is from RNAcentral.
AUUAACCACAUUGGUUUAUGAAACUCAGAUAUGUCCAGUGAGUAUAGAAAAGGUUAGAGAUUUCAAGUUUUAUUGAAAAGUUUUUCAGACAUUAGACCCAAGAUUGGUGAAAAGCUAGAUAUUUAAGAACCAGUAGUUAAUUAUGUAUUAUUAAGUCAUGGGUUUAAGUGAGGCUUAAUAUAUACCACGGUGAAGAUUAUUGAUUUUGAAAGCAGAAGGCCAGGUAGAAAGUCCUGGCUCCAGCCUAGAGUGGUGGGAAGUGCUGUGGAGAGCAGUUGGAAGAAAAAUGCUACAGUUUUGUCACAGUUUUGAAGGCCGCGUAGGAACCUCAGAGGAGGGGAUCCCCCAAUUGGUAAUUAAAUGACAGUGAGAUGCAGCAUUUUGGAUCACUGGGGAGAAAUUUCUUCUCAUCUUGGGUAAAUGUCAAUGAGAAUGUUGUCUUUUCUUAGCCAAAACGUGGCAUGU